GGCGUUUGUUGACGUGGCGUUUGUAGACGUGGCGUUUGUUGAAGUGGCGUUUGUUGACGUGGCGUUUGUUGACGUGGCGUUUGUUGAAGUGGCGUUUGUUGACGUGGCGUUUGUAGACGUGGCGUUUGUUGAAAUGGCGUUUGUAGACGUGGCGUUUGUUGAAGUGGCGUUUGUUGACGUGGCGUUUGUAGACGUGGCGUUUGUUGAAGUGGCGUUUGUUGAAGUGGCGUUUGUAGACGUGGCGUUUGUAGACUGGCGUUUGUUGACGUGGCGUUUGUUGACGUGGCGUUUGUUGACGUGGCGUUUGUAGACGUGGCGUUUGUUGAAGUGGCGUUUGUUGACGUGGCGUUUGUUGACGUGGCGUUUGUAGACGUGGCGUUUGUUGAAGUGGCGUUUGUUGAAGUGGCGUUUGUUGAAGUGGCGUUUGUAGACGUGGCGUUUGUUGAAGUGGCGUUGUAGACGUGGCGUUUGUUGACGUGGCGUUUGUAGACGUGGCGUUUGUUGACGUGGCGUUUGUAGACGUGGCGUUUGUUGACGUGGCGUUUGUUGACGUGGCGUUUGUAGACGUGGCGUUUGUUGAAGUGGCGUUUGUUGACGUGGCGUUUGUUGAAGUGGCGUUUGUAGACGUGGCGUUUGUUGACGUGGCGUUUGUUGACGUGGCGUUUGUUGAAGUGGCGUUUGUUGACGUGGCGUUUGUUGAAGUGGCGUUUGUAGACGUGGCGUUUGUUGACGUGGCGUUUGUUGACGUGGCGUUUGUUGAAGUGGCGUUGUAGACGUGGCGUUUGUUGAAGUGGCGUUGGUUGACGUGGCGUUGGUUGAAGUGGCGUUUGUUGAAGUGGCGUUUGUUGACGUGGCGUUUGUUGACGUGGCGUUUGUAGACGUGGCGUUUGUUGACGUGGCGUUUGUUGACGUGGCGUUUGUUGAAGUGGCGUUUGUAGACGUGGCGUUUGUUGAAGUGGCGUUUGUUGACGUGGCGUUUGUUGACGUGGCGUUUGUAGACGUGGCGUUUGUUGACGUCGCGUUUGUAGACGUGGCGUUUGUUGACGUGGCGUUUGUUGACGUGGCGUUUGUAGACGUGGCGUUUGUUGAAGUGGCGUUUGUUGACGUGGCGUUUGUUGAAGUGGCGUUUGUUGACGUGGCGUUUGUUGACGUGGCGUUUGUUGACGUGGCGUUUGUUGAAGUGGCGUUUGUUGACGUGGCGUUUGUUGAAGUGGCGUUUGUUGACGUGGCGUUGGUUGAAGUGGCGUUUGUUGAAGUGGCGUUUGUUGACGUGGCGUUUGUAGACGUGGCGUUGUUGAAGUGGCGUUUGUUGAAGUGGCGUUUGUUGAAGUGGCGUUUGUUGAAGUGGCGUUUGUUGAAGUGGCGUUUGUAGACGUGGCGUUUGUUGACGUGGCGUUUGUUGAAGUGGCGUUUGUUGAAGUGGCGUUUGUUGAAGUGGCGUUUGUAGACGUGGCGUUUGUUGAAGUGGCGUUUGUUGAAGUGGCGUUUGUUGACGUGGUGUUUGUUGAAGAGGUGUUUGUCACUAUUAAUUGAGAGGUUAAAUAGGAAUUAGAAUACUUACAUGUACAAAAUGUUAUUAAAGUGCAGUAUCAGUGAAAGUGAAUACUGACCAGGAACCCG
Long non-coding RNA from Ictalurus punctatus (channel catfish), 1620 nucleotides. NCBI's taxonomy places the organism in Eukaryota, Metazoa, Chordata, Actinopteri, Siluriformes, Ictaluridae. The record is from Ensembl.